AAACUGAUCGUGCAGCUUCUAUUUUUGGAACUGUCAAUUAUGGAUUUUGGGGAUAUGAAGAUGAAACUUUAGGCUAGUCUGCUAACAGUAUAGAGCCUGAUCAGACUGCUCAGAUGUACUGCAGACCUGGCUCUAUACUGGAAGCAAAGGUAAAAUCAAUUUUAGUGUGGGUUAAAGGCCUCUGUGACUAAAUUGUUAAGUUGCUUAUGGAACCAGAACAGUUAUCAUUGAGAAGCUCUCUCACAUAACCCAUUAGUGAUUGAAUAACCAACUGAAGUAAAAUAAGACUGUUGCCAUAUUACCAUUGGUGUGACUUUAACUAUUGUUCUCAUUUGUUUUGAUGGCCCAUUGUCUAUUGUCUGUGCGUCAACAACUUUUGUGAUCACAAUUUGUCCGGCGCCCGUCAGUGCAUCCGUCAUCAACUUUUAUACAAACCACGUCUCAGAAACCACUUGACCAAAUUUGAUGAAUUUUUCCAGGGAUGUUCCUAGCAUGAAACUCUACUAGAAUUGUUCAAAUGGUUCUACUCAAUUGAACAUCUGGGUCAGAAGGGCUAAAAAUAGAUUUUUGAAAUGAUUUCUCUAAAAAACUUUGUCUCUGAAAUUGCAAGGCUUAGAGCUUAAACAUUUUGUGUGUAGUAUCGUCUCAUGUAACUCUACAAAAUUUGUUCAAAUUAUAGCCCUGGGGUCAAAAUUGGCCCCACAGGGGGUCUUUGAUUUUUAGCUCACCUGAGCUUGCUCAAGGUGAGCUUUUAGGAUCAUUGAAUGUCCGUCGUCCGUCCACACUUGUUCGUUAACACUCUAGCGGUCACAUUUUUGCCUCAAUCAUCAUCAAACUUUGUCAGGAUGCUUAUCUAGUUGAUAGCUCGGAUGAGUUUGAACAUGGGUCAUCUCGGAUGAAAAACUAGGUCACAAGAGCUAAAAAUAGAAAAACCUUGUUAACACUCUAGCGGUCACAUUUUUGCUUCAACCAUCAUCAAAUUUGGUCAGGAUGCUUGUCUAGGUGAUAGCUCAAAUGAGUUCGAACAUGGGUCAUCUGGGAUGAAAAACUAGGUCACCGGAGCUAGAAAUAGGAAACCUUGUUAACACUCUUGCAGUCACAUUUUUGCCUCAAUCAUCAUCAGACUUGGUCAGGAUGCUUAUCUAGUUGAUAGCUCAGAUAACUUUGAACAUGGGUCAUCUCGGAUGAAAAACUACGUCACCGGAGCUAAAAAUAGAAAAAUCUUGUUUACACUCUAGUGGUCACAUUUUUGCCUCAAUCAUCAUCAAAAUAUCCUGUAAAUUGGUCUGAAAGUUUGUUAUGAUUUCUAGGUUAAGUUCGAAUAUGGGUCACCUUGGGCAAAAACUAGCUCACACUGCCCAAAUAUGGAAAAACCUUGUUAACAUUCUAGUGGUCACAUUUUUAGUGGUAUAGUUAUGGGGCUAUGUUCGGGGUCCUUCGUCGUGCGUCGUCAAAACAAUUGGGUUGUUAACAGGCUAGCAGUCACAGUUUUGAUUGGCUCAUCAUCAAACUUUGUCAGAAUGUUUGUCUCAAUGAAAUACAGAUUGAGUUCGAAGAUGGGUUAUCUCCAGUCAAAAACUAGGUCGCAGGAGCUAAAAAUAGAAAAAGCUUGUUAACACUAUAGUGGCUGCAAUUUUCAUCCAAAUAUUCUGGAAAUUUGUCAGGAAGGUUGUUUUGAUGAUUUCUAGGUCAAGUUCGAAGAUGGGUCAUCUCCGGUCAAAAACUAGGUCACAGGAGCUAAAAAUAGAAAAAGCUUGUUAACACUCUAGUGGCUGCAAUUUUCAUCCAAAUAUUCUGGAAAUUUGUCAGGAAGGUUGUUUUGAUGAUAUCUAAGUAGUCAAGUUCGAAGAUGGAUCAUGUCCGGUCAAAAACUAGGUCACAGGAGCUAAAAAUAGAAAAAGCUUGUUAACACUCUAGUGGCUGCAGUUUUCAUCCAAAUAUUCUGGAAAUUUGUCAGGAAGGUUGUUUUGAUGAUUUCUAGGUCAAGUUCAAAGAUGGGUCAUCUCCGGUCAAAAACUAUAUCACAGGAGCUAAAAAUAGAAAAAGCUUGUUAACAAAUUAGUGGCUGCAGUUUUGAUUAAAAUAUUCUGGAAAUUUGUCGGGAAGGUCAGGCUUCGCGAAAGUUGCCGGACCGUCGGACAUGUCCGACAAAAAUCAGGCCGGUCCGAUAUUUUUUUACGAGUUUCGGACCUUAUGUCCGGUACGAAUACCGGGAUAUAUCCAAGACCGAUCAAGACCGAGCUUUCUCCCUUGAAUAAAAAAAUGUAAAACGAGUUUUGAUUUGCCGUUUCAUUUUUAGUGUCCAAUCAAAUUCUAGAUACAUACAACUUUCGAUGAUCUUGUACUCAGAAGAAAAUGUCGGUGUUACUGCAUUGUUAAAUUAUUACGUUGGCGCUACGCCAGGUAAAAAACGUAAAUUAUCUAAUGAAGGAAAAAAGCGAAACAAAAGAAAUACGAGUCCAGGCGCCUGCCGAGAAAAUUUGUGGGUAAAUGGAAAAAUGGCCGCUCGUGGUUGGUUUUUAACGAGGAAGAAAAUAAGAUGAAAUGUACAUUGUGUCAUAAAUUUUAUAAAGAUCAUAUGAUGAUGAUGAUUUUGAUCAUGAAUGUUUAAAUUUCCAGACAGAGUCCAUCAAUCUGGAUAAACUGAUGUUUUAUUUAAGAGAAUAAAAUUGUUUUGCACAUCUUUAAAAGUUCCUAUGUCUUUAAAAAAACACAAAGGUAUUACCAUAUAUAUAUAUUUGGAAAAAAUUCGGUCAGACAAAAGUUCUUUCGGUCAGACAAAAAAUUGAAAGUUUGUCUGACCGAAUGUCAGGCAAAUGUUUCAGCAGUUUCGCGAAGCCUGGAAGGUUGUUUUGAUGAUUUCUAGGUAAAGUUUGAAGAUGGGUCAUCUCCGGCCAAAAAAUAGGCCACAGGAGCUAAAAAUAGAAAAAGCUUGUAAACACUCUAGUGGCUGCAGUUUUGAACCAGAUAUUCUGGAAAUUUGUCAGGAAGGUUGUUUUAAUAAUUUCUAGGUAAAGUUCGAAGAUUGGUCAUAUCCGGUCAAAAACUAGGUCACAGGAGCUAAAAAUAGAAAAAUCUUUUUAACACACUAGAGGUCACAUGUUUGACUCAGUUGUCAUCAAACUUGGCCAGGAUGCUUGUCUAAGACAUUGCUUGGAUGCGGUUGAUGGGUCAGGUGAGCGAUCCAGGGCCAUCAUGGCCCUCUUGUUGACUCAAUUAUCAUCAAACUUGGUCAGGAUGCUUGUCUAGGUCAUUGCUCCGCUGAGUUCAAACAUGGGUCAUCUCGGAUGAAAAACUAGGUCACACCGCCCAAAUAUGGAAAAACCUUGUUUACACUCUAGUGGUCACAUUUUUUACUCAAUUAUCAUCAAACUUGGUCAGGAUGCUUGUCUAGCUUAUUGCUCGAAUGAGUUCGAACAGUGGUCAUCUAGGUCACUGGAGGUAAAAAUAGAAAAAGCUUGUCAACACUAGUGACUACUGUUUUGAUCCAAGUAUCCUGGAAAUUGAUCUGAAAGUUAUUUUUGAUGAUUUCAAGGUCAAGUUCGAAUAUGGGUCACCUGGGUAAAAAACUAGGUCACACUGCUCAAAUAUGGAUAAUCCUUGUUAACACUCUAGUGGUCACAUUUUUGACUCGCCUGUCAUGAAACUUGGUCAGAAUGCUUGUCUAGGUAAUUGUUUGGAUGAGUUUGAUAAGUCAGGUGAGCGAUCUAGGGCCAUCAUGGCCCUCUUGUUUGUAUAUGCAUUCCAUUCUGCAAUUACCUUCCUUUAAUAACAUAAAUAAAGUUUUGCAUUAAUAACAAGAAAAUAAAUAAGAUUUUUAGCUCACCUUGCACAUAGUGCAGGUGAGCUUUUAGGAUGGCCAAUCAAAAGCGUCCGGUGUCCGUCCACAUUUUAUUUAGACGACAUCUUCUAUAAUACCACUUGACCAAUUUUAAUGAAACUUGGCAGGAAUACUCUUUGUAUGAAGCUCUAUCAAGAUUGUUCAAAGAAUGCCAUUCCAUGCUAAACUCUGGUUGCUAUGGCAACUAAAAGAAAAAACUUAAAAGUUCUUAUACUUCAAAAUGGAAAGGGCUAGAGCUUAGAUAUUUCUCACAAGGCAUGAGCUUGUUGGUUUCCACAAAGUAUAAUCAGAUUAUGGUCUACAGUUGAAAAUUGGUCUCUGUUUUGGGGGUUAAAGGUUUUUUUAUUGCAAGAUUGUAUAAACUGUCUUUGUAGGGAUAAAUUGAGAGUGUAUCUUGUAUUUUUUGUCUCAACAGACAUUGUUUUGAGGAUUUUUUCUGUUAAAGCAUUAGAAAGAUGAAAGUGUUGUUGAAUGUGAAUGUUAAUUCAAACAAAGUCAAUCAGAAUAGCCCCAAUUUCAGAGAUACAGUGUAGUUGAUUACCCCAUUCAAUAAUGGAUUCUUCCUUUAAUUUCGUAACAUCAUCAGAAAGGAGACUGUGUCAUUUCCGAAAUAAAAUGCAAUGUAUUUUGGUUCUUGACAUUGACUUGCACAUUUUAUUGUGUAAGAUAUUGCACAAAGAAACGAAAGUGAACAAAAAAGGUUGUAUUUUUUCACAAAAAAUAGCUUAUUAAGAUAAAAGUUUAAUUUACAGUGCGGAUAUUACUUAAAUUCUUCCUUCCAGUUUGCGGGAAAAAUCAUAUAUUUCAACAUUGUGUACACCGGUCUUACUGAAUCUGCUGAACGAUUUAUGACAUAAUAUUUCAUUCUGAUUAUAAACAUACAAUUCAAAUCAUUAAAUAAUAGAUAUCAAUCAGUCCUGAAACUUAGAAAACAUCUGUAUCAAUCUGACCUAUAAACCAAACUAAACUGGAAUUAGGACAAAAUGGCGGCCUUGAACAAGGAAAUUGAGAAAUUUUGUAACAUAAACUCGUAUUUCAAAACAAAGAAGUGAAGAUGACAACAAUUAUCGGUGUGCUUCGUUGAAACAGGUAUUUUGUAAACUAUAUAUGAAGUAUUAAGGGAUGACAUUUAGUAUUUAUGUAAAUAUCACCUCCCGUGAUAUGAUUUCUAAAAUUAUACAUGUUUACACCGUCUCAUUUUGGCGAUCUCCGAGGUCAUUUUUCUGAAUGACGUAAAUCCGAUGAGAAAUCGGGAAGGGUGUGUGUGCAUGUCUCAUUAAUUAGCGUGUGCACAUUGCUUGAUAAUGCUUGAUAUAUAUUUUAAAAUAAAUUUGUCCAUCUCAGACCAGUUUGUAAACGAAUCAAAACAAUUACAAUACGGAGAUUGCCGAUGAAAAAUUGAGCUAGAAUAUAUAAGAUCAGAUUUGAUUGGUCGUCGUAAUUUUUACCAGCCAAUGAAAUCGUUUGUUGUAUAGUCAUUUGAUGUCAAAAUACAUGUACAAAUACAAUGACAACAACAGUGAUGUGUUUACCGCCUGGUGUUAAUACUAACGAUCUGAAAAAGGAUGCAAAAAACAAAUGGAGGUGGGAGUGGUUAGCGGAAAAGGACUCUAAAGGUGAAAAAUGGGAUGCCAUGGGCUAUUGUGAAGUCUGUUCCAAAACGAUCAACUAGACAAAUCGAACAGAAAAAAGGUGCUUCUUAAUCACGAUGAGCUGAAGAUGAGGUCCACUAAAAGAAUCUUCGACCAAGUACUGCCAGGCUCAUCAAAAGCUGUGGACAAAAAGAUUGAAAGUAUGCAAGAUCGCAUUGCCAAACAAAGAGCAAUCACAACUGCCUUUCUUAGUGAACAUUGACUGCCAUUUUCCAUAGCAGGCGAUCUGUAACAUCAUCAGGCGAUCUCUAACAUCAUGCCAAACAUUUAGCUGAAGACAAGCCUGCUCUUGAAAAAACUACUCUUUCUCCAACCAGUGCAAUUUACAUAACAACACAUGGUGUAGCCAAAUCUGUUAAGGAUGGAGUGAAGUCAAAAGUGAAAGAUAAGUUAAUAUCUUUGAAUAUGGAUAAGGCAACUAACAAAAAUCAAUAACAAAGUACUGAAUAUAAUCUUUCAGUACUUUGAUGAUGAAACUAGUCAAGUAGUAAUGGAUCAUUUAGGAUUGAGAAUUCAAAAUGUUUCCACAUCUGAAGAAAUUGUCAAGUCAGUUGAAAGUGUGCUGCAUCAACAAGUGGAAGACAAUGGAAAAGAAUUAAAUUUAAGAUAUGAAUUUGAAAAUAGUAAAAAGAAUGAACAUAAUUUGUUAUGUGGAAUGUGUAUAUAUUGCUUAAAUAGUAUUGCUCAGUGAAUUUGUGUAAAUUUUAACAUAUCAGAUUAAUUACAUCUUAAGAUAAAUAAAGCACUUGAGUAUGUAUUUGAGCCUUUUUUUGAACUUUUAAAUUCACUAAAUUGCAAAAGCUUCUGAGGGCCUCCAGCCCCCUGAACCCCUAGCCAGGGCGUUGCCCUGGACCCACCGGGGGGCCCUAGCGGCCCCCUGGCCCCUCAACUUUUCUUUCAGUAUUUCCAGUUUCUGUAACUUAUACCCCUGCAUGUACACAUGUGUUUAUCACCUCAAUAAAUGUAAGUGAAAAUGGAACAAUAAUUAUGGUAAUUAUUCAUGGUGCUAGAAAUACUUAAUUAUCUUUAUCAUCAUGUUAACUAAGCAAGAAGCUUAUAAUUGCCUAACCUUACAAUAGUUAUCAAUUUAAACUUGAAAAUCUACCCUAAAUGACUUCCCAAACAGUCAUUUCUGAAAACAUGAAAAUGAUUCGUGUAGAAAAAUAACACAAGAAAAAACUGAUUUGACUCAUGAAAAUUUUUUGCCAAACAGUCUGCCAGGUGAAAUUCUGACCUUCCUGAGAUCCCUGCUGUUUGUUUUUUUUUAAUAACAUUUUACAUGAUUUAAUUUUAUGAUUAAACCUGUGUAUAGAGCCACUCAUGUGAACAGGAAGAAGUUUUUGUAGAAAGGGAUGUCCUAAUAUGAUAAACCAUAGAUGCUUGGGGGUUAGAUCCUGUCCCCAACAUGAUACCCCUGAGUAAACACUUUUAUCAGAAAUUAUUUUAAUAUUUAAACACUAAUGGGAUAUCUGGUACAACUAUAAUACUGGUUUUCGAAAAAAUUUACAUAAUCAUAUGCAAAAAAAAUACUGUUUACCAUCAUGUAUUGAGACUUGAUUCCGGGCAGGCAGGCGAAUUGGUUGGGCCAUUUUUGGUAACAGUUUUCUCAGCAACUACUCUACAGAACCUCAUAAUAUUUUGUAUACAGCAUUAACACAUUGUUCCAUACCAUGGGAUUCGAUUUCAGGUCUGUCACUCAUCCACUUCAUGUUUACUGACUUAGUUAAAUUCAUAAUAAUGGUCAAUGGUAGGAAUUUUUUCUAACAAUUUUCUCAGCAACUACUUAUCACAGCCUCUUGAUAUUUGGUAUACAGCAUCAACAUUUAGUCACAUACAAUGGGAUAUGAUUUCAGGUAUGUGGCUCAUCCACUUCCCGUUUGAUGACUUAGUUAAAUUUUCGGCAUUUAUUGUAAAUGGAAGGAUAUUUCCGUAACAGUUUUCUCAGCAGCUACAUAACACAGCCUCUUGAUAUUUGGUAAUGUGACUGCAUUAAUAUGUGGUCCCAAGUUCAGGUCUAUCGCUUAUCCACUUCCUGUUUACUGACUUAGUUAAAUGUUCGAAAUUAAUGGUCAAUGGUAGUACAUUUUUGUAACAUCACAGCCUCAUGAGUCAUGUUAUUUGGUAUACAAAUGCAACCUGGCCAUUUUUGUCUUUGACCCAUUUUUAUUGAAGUAUUAUCCAAAUUUGUACUUCGCCUUGUUAAUUAUGAUGACAUUGUUAAAAUUUUCAUGAUGUAAACACACUACAGGGAGUGUAUUUUUUAGCAACCUAUACUUUAAAGAAAAGAAAAAAAGAGGUAUUUCUAUACACUUGAUUGCAUUCCUGUUGCUGUUGGCCAAAAAUACUUUACAUUUGACACUAACUAAAUAACAUUAAAGUAUUUUAUAAACAUGUUGCUUGUUUUAAAUAAGAAAAAUCCAGUUAAAAUCUAUUCCUUAAGGUGAGCGAUAUUGGGCCAUCAUGGCCCUCUUGUUUAAUAUAAUUAUGGUUAAUUAAGAUAUGAAAAAAAUAUCUAAUGAAAAAUAAAUUUAUAAAUUUUCGUUAGCCCAAUCAUUUUUUCAAGUAACUGCUGUAUAUAUUGCAAGAGUUGAACAGCAUUUGAUAUUUGACUGUAUAUUUUAUUUGUAUUAACAAGCACAUGGCUGUAGUUGUAAUUACUCUAAUUUACCAAAGUGAAUGCAGUAAUACACAUCUUGACUACAUUAAUUGAUGAAUAGCCCAAGCUAUCUGUAAGUUGUAAUUAUCCUGGUAUAAUUACAUUGUAUAAUUUCUGUAAAAGCAAUUUAAACUGCAGUCAUGUUCUAUGUUAAGACCCUGAAACACAACUAUUUAGCUCACCUGAGGACAAUGUCACCUGUGUGUGUGUGUGUGUGUUUGUGUGUGUGUUAUAUAGAUUAUAUAGUGAACUUAAAAAAUCUUCUUGUGAAAAACCACUAGUCCAAUUUCAACCAAACUUUGCAGGAUUGUUCCUUGGGUGAAGGGCUUCCAAAGUUGUUCAAAAAAUUUCAUUCCAUGCAGAAAUCUGGUUGCCAUGGCAACCAAAAGGAAUUAUAAGAAUAAAUUUAAAAAAUCUUCUUGUAAAGACCCAAAAGGCCUAGAGCUUAGAUAUUUUGCAUAAGGCAUCAUCUGGUAGACCCUUACCAAGAUUGUUCAAAUUAAAGCCCUUGGGUCAAAAUCAGCCCCGCCCCGGGGUCAUUGAUUUUCGCUAUAUGUACAUAUAGUAAAAACUUUUUGUAUAGACCCAAAAGGCCUAGAGCUUAGAUAUUUUGCAUAAGGCAUUGUCUGGUAGACCUCUACCCUGAUUGUUCAAAUUAUAGCCCUGGGGUCAAAAUCGGCCCCGCCCCAGGGGUCAUUGGU
Long non-coding RNA from Ruditapes philippinarum (Manila clam), 8850 nucleotides. RefSeq lists it as uncharacterized. The record is from RefSeq and is a predicted model, not a curated record. The transcript has 2 exons. NCBI's taxonomy places the organism in Eukaryota, Metazoa, Mollusca, Bivalvia, Venerida, Veneridae.